UUAAGCGACUAAGCGUACACGGUGGAUGCCUUGGCAGUCAGAGGCGAUGAAGGACGUGCUAAUCUGCGAUAAGCGUCGGUGAGGUGAUAUGAACCGUUAUAACCGGCGAUUUCCGAAUGGGGAAACCCAGUGUGUUUCGACACACUAUCAUUAACUGAAUCCAUAGGUUAAUGAGGCGAACCGGGGGAACUGAAACAUCUAAGUACCCCGAGGAAAAGAAAUCAACCGAGAUUCCCCCAGUAGCGGCGAGCGAACGGGGAGCAGCCCAGAGCCUGAAUCAGUGUGUGUGUUAGUGGAAGCGUCUGGAAAGGCGCGCGAUACAGGGUGACAGCCCCGUACACAAAAAUGCACAUGCUGUGAGCUCGAUGAGUAGGGCGGGACACGUGGUAUCCUGUCUGAAUAUGGGGGGACCAUCCUCCAAGGCUAAAUACUCCUGACUGACCGAUAGUGAACCAGUACCGUGAGGGAAAGGCGAAAAGAACCCCGGCGAGGGGAGUGAAAAAGAACCUGAAACCGUGUACGUACAAGCAGUGGGAGCCUCUUUAUGGGGUGACUGCGUACCUUUUGUAUAAUGGGUCAGCGACUUAUAUUCUGUAGCAAGGUUAACCGAAUAGGGGAGCCGAAGGGAAACCGAGUCUUAACUGGGCGUUAAGUUGCAGGGUAUAGACCCGAAACCCGGUGAUCUAGCCAUGGGCAGGUUGAAGGUUGGGUAACACUAACUGGAGGACCGAACCGACUAAUGUUGAAAAAUUAGCGGAUGACUUGUGGCUGGGGGUGAAAGGCCAAUCAAACCGGGAGAUAGCUGGUUCUCCCCGAAAGCUAUUUAGGUAGCGCCUCGUGAAUUCAUCUCCGGGGGUAGAGCACUGUUUCGGCAAGGGGGUCAUCCCGACUUACCAACCCGAUGCAAACUGCGAAUACCGGAGAAUGUUAUCACGGGAGACACACGGCGGGUGCUAACGUCCGUCGUGAAGAGGGAAACAACCCAGACCGCCAGCUAAGGUCCCAAAGUCAUGGUUAAGUGGGAAACGAUGUGGGAAGGCCCAGACAGCCAGGAUGUUGGCUUAGAAGCAGCCAUCAUUUAAAGAAAGCGUAAUAGCUCACUGGUCGAGUCGGCCUGCGCGGAAGAUGUAACGGGGCUAAACCAUGCACCGAAGCUGCGGCAGCGACGCUUAUGCGUUGUUGGGUAGGGGAGCGUUCUGUAAGCCUGCGAAGGUGUGCUGUGAGGUAUGCUGGAGGUAUCAGAAGUGCGAAUGCUGACAUAAGUAACGAUAAAGCGGGUGAAAAGCCCGCUCGCCGGAAGACCAAGGGUUCCUGUCCAACGUUAAUCGGGGCAGGGUGAGUCGACCCCUAAGGCGAGGCCGAAAGGCGUAGUCGAUGGGAAACAGGUUAAUAUUCCUGUACUUGGUGUUACUGCGAAGGGGGGACGGAGAAGGCUAUGUUGGCCGGGCGACGGUUGUCCCGGUUUAAGCGUGUAGGCUGAUUUUCCAGGCAAAUCCGGAAAAUCAAGGCUGAGGCGUGAUGACGAGGCACUACGGUGCUGAAGCAACAAAUGCCCUGCUUCCAGGAAAAGCCUCUAAGCAUCAGGUAACAUCAAAUCGUACCCCAAACCGACACAGGUGGUCAGGUAGAGAAUACCAAGGCGCUUGAGAGAACUCGGGUGAAGGAACUAGGCAAAAUGGUGCCGUAACUUCGGGAGAAGGCACGCUGAUAUGUAGGUGAAGCGACUUGCUCGUGGAGCUGAAAUCAGUCGAAGAUACCAGCUGGCUGCAACUGUUUAUUAAAAACACAGCACUGUGCAAACACGAAAGUGGACGUAUACGGUGUGACGCCUGCCCGGUGCCGGAAGGUUAAUUGAUGGGGUUAGCGGUAACGCGAAGCUCUUGAUCGAAGCCCCGGUAAACGGCGGCCGUAACUAUAACGGUCCUAAGGUAGCGAAAUUCCUUGUCGGGUAAGUUCCGACCUGCACGAAUGGCGUAAUGAUGGCCAGGCUGUCUCCACCCGAGACUCAGUGAAAUUGAACUCGCUGUGAAGAUGCAGUGUACCCGCGGCAAGACGGAAAGACCCCGUGAACCUUUACUAUAGCUUGACACUGAACAUUGAGCCUUGAUGUGUAGGAUAGGUGGGAGGCUUUGAAGUGUGGACGCCAGUCUGCAUGGAGCCGGCCUUGAAAUACCACCCUUUAAUGUUUGAUGUUCUAACGUUGGCCCCUGAUCGGGGUUGCGGACAGUGUCUGGUGGGUAGUUUGACUGGGGCGGUCUCCUCCUAAAGAGUAACGGAGGAGCACGAAGGUUGGCUAAUCCUGGUCGGACAUCAGGAGGUUAGUGCAAUGGCAUAAGCCAGCUUGACUGCGAGCGUGACGGCGCGAGCAGGUGCGAAAGCAGGUCAUAGUGAUCCGGUGGUUCUGAAUGGAAGGGCCAUCGCUCAACGGAUAAAAGGUACUCCGGGGAUAACAGGCUGAUACCGCCCAAGAGUUCAUAUCGACGGCGGUGUUUGGCACCUCGAUGUCGGCUCAUCACAUCCUGGGGCUGAAGUAGGUCCCAAGGGUAUGGCUGUUCGCCAUUUAAAGUGGUACGCGAGCUGGGUUUAGAACGUCGUGAGACAGUUCGGUCCCUAUCUGCCGUGGGCGCUGGAGAACUGAGGGGGGCUGCUCCUAGUACGAGAGGACCGGAGUGGACGCAUCACUGGUGUUCGGGUUGUCAUGCCAAUGGCACUGCCCGGUAGCUAAAUGCGGAAGAGAUAAGUGCUGAAAGCAUCUAAGCACGAAACUUGCCCCGAGAUGAGUUCUCCCUGAGACUUAGAGUCUCCUGAAGGAACGUUGAAGACGACGACGUUGAUAGGCCGGGUGUGUAAGCGCAGCGAUGCGUUGAGCUAACCGGUACUAAUGAACCGUGAGGCUUAACCUU
RNAcentral lists this ribosomal RNA (2903 nucleotides) under Escherichia coli UMEA 3304-1. RNAcentral describes it as "bacterial LSU rRNA". It matches the Rfam family "Bacterial large subunit ribosomal RNA". Lineage: Bacteria; Pseudomonadati; Pseudomonadota; Gammaproteobacteria; Enterobacterales; Enterobacteriaceae. The record is from RNAcentral.